GCUCGAAGUCGCCCGAAAGACGAGGCACCUCAGGGGACUCGUAAAAGACGAGAUUGAUAGACAGCGGGUGUAAGCACCGAGGUUUCGACCGAGGUGUUCAGCCCAGCUGCACUAAUCCCCCGAGCAUCAAGAAUU
Molecule: ribosomal RNA, 135 nt
Filed under: Candidatus Thalassarchaeaceae archaeon
Lineage: Archaea; Methanobacteriati; Thermoplasmatota; Candidatus Poseidoniia; Candidatus Poseidoniales; Candidatus Thalassarchaeaceae
Description: partial 23S ribosomal RNA
Rfam family: Archaeal large subunit ribosomal RNA
Source: RNAcentral